GUGGCAGACGAGAUAAUCGCCCGAGGUAAGCCCGCCUACGCUAAAAGCUUCGGCGAGGCGCUUCGCGGAGGAAAGUCCGAACACCCACUUACUUUUGUAAGUUAAAAUGGUAGCGGGUAACGCCCGUCCACAGUAAUGUGAGAGGUGCGACAAGAGACGUCUUAUUCCGAAAGGAAUGGAAAGCUAGACCCUAAUCACUUGAUUAUUGAUCAAAUGACAAAGCUUAGUCCCGAUCGAGGGUAAUAAGAUCGGGGGUGAAACGGCUAAAUCCUUACCUGGGUGCAAGGCCAAACCUAUUUCGCAAGAGAUAGACGAAAAGUGGGCCGCUAGAUCCCGAGAGUAAUCGAGGGACAAGAUAAAUGGUUAUCAAAUACAGAAUUCGGCUUAUUGUCUGCCACGCAA
RNAcentral lists this RNase P RNA (402 nucleotides) under Candidatus Yanofskybacteria bacterium RIFCSPHIGHO2_02_FULL_41_11. RNAcentral's name for it is "RNase P RNA component class A". It matches the Rfam family "Bacterial RNase P class A". From Rfam's summary of the family: Ribonuclease P (RNase P) is a ubiquitous endoribonuclease, found in archaea, bacteria and eukarya as well as chloroplasts and mitochondria. Its best characterised activity is the generation of mature 5'-ends of tRNAs by cleaving the 5'-leader elements of precursor-tRNAs. The record is from RNAcentral. Lineage: Bacteria; Candidatus Yanofskyibacteriota.